RNAcentral lists this ribosomal RNA (253 nucleotides) under uncultured bacterium. RNAcentral's name for it is "partial 16S ribosomal RNA". It matches the Rfam family "Bacterial small subunit ribosomal RNA", at positions 524 to 776 of the family's 1533-position model. The record is from RNAcentral.
UACGGGGGGGGCAAGCGUUGUUCGGAAUUACUGGGCGUAAAUGGCUCGUAGGCGGCCUACUAAGUCGGAUGUGAAAUCCCCAGGCUCAACUUGGGAACUGCAUCCGAUACUGGAUGGCUUGAAUCCGGGAGAGGGAUGCAGAAUUCCAGGUGUAGCGGUGAAAUGCGUAGAUAUCUGGAGGAAUACCGGUGGCGAAGGCGGCAUCCUGGACCGGCAUUGACGCUGAUGAGCGAAAGCUAGGGGAGCAAACGGG